GACGAACGCUGGCGGCGUGCUUAACACAUGCAAGUCGAACGGAAAGGCCUGCUUUCCCUUGUGGAUUGCGGGUACUCGAGUGGCGAACGGGUGAGUAACACGUGAGUGAUCUGCCCCCAACUUGGGUAUAAGCCUGGGAAACUGGGUCUAAUUCCCAAUAGGACUGCAGGGUGGUGCCUGUGGUGGAAAACGAUUUUCUAGUGGUUGGGGAUGAGCUCGCGGCCUAUCAGCUUGUUGGUGGGGUAAUGGCCUACCAAGGCGGCGACGGGUAGCCGGCCUGAGAGGGUGGACGGCCACAUUGGGACUGAGAUACGGCCCAGACUCCUACGGGAGGCAGCAGUGGGGAAUAUUGCACAAUGGGCGGAAGCCUGAUGCAGCGAUGCCGCGUGGGGGAUGACGGCCUUCGGGUUGUAAACUCCUUUCGACCGCGAGGAAGCCACCUGGUUGGAAGGGUGGUGACGGUAGUGGUAGAAGAAGCACCGGCUAACUACGUG
This 494-nucleotide ribosomal RNA is filed under the name uncultured bacterium. RNAcentral describes it as "partial 16S ribosomal RNA". It matches the Rfam family "Bacterial small subunit ribosomal RNA", at positions 28 to 507 of the family's 1533-position model. The record is from RNAcentral.